RNAcentral lists this ribosomal RNA (371 nucleotides) under uncultured bacterium. RNAcentral's name for it is "bacterial SSU rRNA". It matches the Rfam family "Bacterial small subunit ribosomal RNA", at positions 525 to 896 of the family's 1533-position model. The record is from RNAcentral.
ACGUAGGGUGCGAGCGUUAAUCGGAAUUACUGGGCGUAAAGCGUGCGCAGGCGGUUUUGUAAGACAGAUGUGAAAUCCCCGGGCUUAACCUGGGAACUGCGUUUGUGACUGCAAGGCUAGAGUACGGCAGAGGGGGGUGGAAUUCCUGGUGUAGCAGUGAAAUGCGUAGAUAUCAGGAGGAACACCGAUGGCGAAGGCAGCCCCCUGGGCCUGUACUGACGCUCAUGCACGAAAGCGUGGGGAGCAAACAGGAUUAGAUACCCUGGUAGUCCACGCCCUAAACGAUGUCAACUGGUUGUUGGACGGCUUGCUGUUCAGUAACGAAGCUAACGCGUGAAGUUGACCGCCUGGGGAGUACGGCCGCAAGGUUG